UACGUAGGGUGCAAGCGUUGUCCGGAAUUAUUGGGCGUAAAGAGCUCGUAGGCGGUCUGUCGCGUCGGCUGUGAAAACUCGGGGCUCAACCCCGAGCCUGCAGUCGAUACGGGCAGACUAGAGUGCUGUAGGGGAGACUGGAAUUCCUGGUGUAGCGGUGAAAUGCGCAGAUAUCAGGAGGAACACCGGUGGCGAAGGCGGGUCUCUGGGCCGAUACUGACACUGAGGAGCGAAAGCGUGGGGAGCGAACAGG
RNAcentral lists this ribosomal RNA (253 nucleotides) under uncultured bacterium. RNAcentral describes it as "partial 16S ribosomal RNA". It matches the Rfam family "Bacterial small subunit ribosomal RNA", at positions 524 to 776 of the family's 1533-position model. The record is from RNAcentral.